GGAGUUGCAGUUGGAGGCUGCGGGAAUACAAAGUGACACUGACUGCCGGGUAACUGUCUCUCAGGACAUUUGUGCUUUGAGUCUCUGCAACUCUGGACCAUCUCUGCAGGCUAAAAGAUGUGCCUGUUGCUAAGAGGAGGAGCCCUGCAGCAGGAAUCCGGUGCCAGCUGACCUGGAACAACCUGAUCUCCAGAAAGCAUCCCUGUUAUACUCAAAUGGGCCUUCCAGAUGAGCCCUGGAUCCAGCCUUUCUUUGACUAUGAACCUAAACGUAAGAAAGAGAAGUUUCUUGACUCCCUAAAAACGAGUCAUAAUGCUUUCUGAAACUGAGUCUCUUCUGCUUCUGGAAACUGAGUCUUAGUGCAAAGAAAUCCCUCUGUAUUUUCUUGAUUUCCAUCUUGAUUCUCUAUUUUAAAGAUAAAAUAGCUGUU
RNAcentral lists this long non-coding RNA (430 nucleotides) under Homo sapiens (human). RNAcentral describes it as "non-protein coding lnc-IDNK-3:6". Lineage: Eukaryota; Metazoa; Chordata; Mammalia; Primates; Hominidae. The record is from RNAcentral.